Non-coding RNA from Albula glossodonta (roundjaw bonefish), 76 nucleotides. Lineage: Eukaryota; Metazoa; Chordata; Actinopteri; Albuliformes; Albulidae. The record is from the annotation of a GenBank genome assembly.
UGAAAGUUGGGCUCAACUAUGGUAAGGCGUCGGUCUCGUAAACCGAAGGGCAUGGGUUCGAACCCCAUUCGUGCCU